GCCUGUUUGCCUCAGUUUCUCUAUCUAUAAAAUAGGCUGUAUCUUUGCUAAGAAAAUCUCAAAUGGGGUCAUGAAGAGAUGGAUGAGGUUGAGAACAGCUGAACAACAACCCCUCCCCAAGCACAACCCGGCCCCAUUAGAAUGUAAAAUACCUGAAGGGACUGGGAUUGUUUUUGCCUUUGUUUGAAUCUCCAACACUUAGCCCAGUGCCUGUACUUCUCAGCAAACAGAAUGCUUGCUGACUGGGCUUGACUAGAAACACUAGAUUUUCUGCCCAAUUCAAGCAUUUGUUGGCUUUCUACAAAAGCCAUGCUACUUUGCUCAGGAUCAUCUUUUUUCUAGAGCAAAUAACAAAGACUAAUAGAUCAUCAGUUGUGAAAAAAAGCAGCCAUCCACUCCCCCAAAUCUCAGACAUGUAGGAUCCACAUUUUAACUGGCUGGGAGAUCCCAGUGGAAUGAGAAUGAUGGUGCUGCCCACUGAUGAAGUUGCACACGCCUAAGGAAGAGAUCUCCUUAAAGCAGAAGCCAUCAACAGCCCAGGAGCUUAUGAUGAAAGCAAUGAAGUUCAGAGUAGAAAAAGAACUGCACAGACUUGGAAUUGAAAGGGAUAUUGAAUAACAUCUAGUCCAACACUCAGUUUACAGAAGAGGAAAUGUGGAACUCUAGAGAGGUUAAGUGACUUGCCAAAAGUUACAUAGGCGAUGGGGUCAAUAUUCACACCUAGAUCAUAUGAUUCAAAUCCAAUGCCCUUUCCGUUCCUUAGAUCCCAC
RNAcentral lists this long non-coding RNA (770 nucleotides) under Monodelphis domestica (gray short-tailed opossum). Its description in RNAcentral is "lncRNA (ENSMODG00000049002.1)". The record is from RNAcentral. Lineage: Eukaryota; Metazoa; Chordata; Mammalia; Didelphimorphia; Didelphidae.